AUUGAACGCUGGCGGCAUGCCUUACGCAUGCAAGUCGAACGGCAGCACGGGAGCAAUCCUGGUGGCGAGUGGCGAACGGGUGAGUAAUAUAUCGGAACGUGCCCAGUCGUGGGGGAUAACGUAGCGAAAGCUACGCUAAUACCGCAUACGAUCUAUGGAUGAAAGCGGGGGAUCGCAAGACCUCGCGCGAUUGGAGCGGCCGAUAUCAGAUUAGGUAGUUGGUGAGGUAAAGGCUCACCAAGCCGACGAUCUGUAGCUGGCCUGAGAGGACGACCAGCCACACUGGGACUGAGACACGGCCCAGACUCCUACGGGAGGCAGCAGUGGGGAAUUUUGGACAAUGGGCGCAAGCCUGAUCCAGCAAUGCCGCGUGCAGGAUGAAGCCUCCGGUGUAACUGCUUUGUACGGAACGAACGGUGAGCUCUAAUACAGUUUGCUAAUGACGGUACCGUAAGAAUAAGCACCGGCUAACUACG
RNAcentral lists this ribosomal RNA (476 nucleotides) under uncultured bacterium. RNAcentral describes it as "bacterial SSU rRNA". It matches the Rfam family "Bacterial small subunit ribosomal RNA", at positions 30 to 505 of the family's 1533-position model. The record is from RNAcentral.